Ribosomal RNA from Patagioenas fasciata monilis, 78 nucleotides. The record is from Rfam. NCBI's taxonomy places the organism in Eukaryota, Metazoa, Chordata, Aves, Columbiformes, Columbidae.
GCUUCCAACUAUAUCCAGGGUUGGGCCCAGUUAGUACUUGGAUGGGAGACCGCCUGGGAAUACCGGGUGCUGUAGGCU